AGAGUUUGAUCCUGGCUCAGAGUGAACGCUGGCGGCAUGCCUUACACAUGCAAGUCGAACGGCAGCGCGGGGCAACCUGGCGGCGAGUGGCGAACGGGUGAGUAAUAUAUCGGAACAUACCCUAGAGUGGGGGAUAACGUAGCGAAAGUUACGCUAAUACCGCAUACGACCUACGGGUGAAAGGGGGGGGAUCGCAAGACCUCUCGCUAUUGGAGCGGCCGAUGUCAGAUUAGGUAGUUGGUGGGGUAAAGGCCUACCAAGCCGACGAUCUGUAGCUGGUCUGAGAGGACGACCAGCCACACUGGGACUGAGACACGGCCCAGACUCCUACGGGAGGCAGCAGUGGGGAAUUUUGGACAAUGGGCGCAAGCCUGAUCCAGCCAUGCCGCGUGCGGGAAGAAGGCCUUCGGGUUGUAAACCGCUUUUGUCAGGGAAGAAACGCUCUGGGAUAAUACCCUGGGGUAAUGACGGUACCUGAAGAAUAAGCACCGGCUAACUACGUG
RNAcentral lists this ribosomal RNA (503 nucleotides) under uncultured bacterium. RNAcentral's name for it is "bacterial SSU rRNA". It matches the Rfam family "Bacterial small subunit ribosomal RNA", at positions 8 to 507 of the family's 1533-position model. The record is from RNAcentral.